RNAcentral lists this ribosomal RNA (253 nucleotides) under uncultured bacterium. RNAcentral's name for it is "partial 16S ribosomal RNA". It matches the Rfam family "Bacterial small subunit ribosomal RNA", at positions 524 to 776 of the family's 1533-position model. The record is from RNAcentral.
UACGGGGGAGCAAGCGUUGUUCGGAUUUACUGGGCGUAAAGGGCGCGUAGGCGGCCAGCACAAGUCAGUUGUGAAAUCUCCGAGCUUAACUCGGAAAGGUCAACUGAUACUGUGCGACUAGAGUGCAGAAGGGGCAACUGGAAUUCUCGGUGUAGCGGUGAAAUGCGUAGAUAUCGAGAGGAACACCUGCGGCGAAGGCGGGUUGCUGGGCUGACACUGACGCUGAUGCGCGAAAGCCAGGGGAGCGAACGGG